AUGAUCAAGACCAAGAAGGAUGGAUCAAUUGCAGCUUUCAUCCAGGAGCAGAACCAACAUAUUCGACGCCAGGAGAAUCAGAUGUGCACGGACAAGGAAGAACUGAAGAAGGCAUUCACGAAGAUCAAGGAACUCCAAGAAGAACUCAAGGCUAUCCGCGAAGAUUAUUUGGAGGAAAUCAACGCACUAGUAGGGAAGAUUGACGACCUGGAGAAUAAGAUUGGAGCAUUCGUGGGAAAUCCAGUGCCAAAAGCAGAAGUCGACGAAUGCACUUGUCCGGAUAACUACAUCAUCAUCGACGACACCGACUCGGAACCAAGUGAAGACGAAUGGAUUGAUGAAGCUGGAGCAGACAUCAUGGAGUCUUCAACGGAUCAGAAUUUCUAG
This 387-nucleotide ribosomal RNA is filed under the name Triticum aestivum (bread wheat). RNAcentral's name for it is "partial small subunit ribosomal RNA". Lineage: Eukaryota; Viridiplantae; Streptophyta; Magnoliopsida; Poales; Poaceae. The record is from RNAcentral.